RNAcentral lists this ribosomal RNA (253 nucleotides) under uncultured bacterium. RNAcentral's name for it is "partial 16S ribosomal RNA". It matches the Rfam family "Bacterial small subunit ribosomal RNA", at positions 524 to 776 of the family's 1533-position model. The record is from RNAcentral.
UACGGGGGGGGCAAGCGUUGUUCGGAAUUACUGGGCGUAAAGGGCUUGUAGGUGGCCAACUAAGUCAGACGUGAAAUCCCUCGGCUUAACCGGGGAACUGCGUCUGAUACUGGAUGGCUUGAGUUUGGGAGAGGGAUGCGGAAUUCCAGGUGUAGCGGUGAAAUGCGUAGAGAUCGGGAAGAACAUCGGUGGCGAAAGCGCUCUACUGGACCGCAACUGACACUCAGGGACGAAAGCUAGGGGAGCGAAUGGG